UUUUAUAUUUGCAACAUGUUUUACAUUUCAAGUACCUACUUGUACAUCAUGUUUAAUACAAACAAAAACCUUGCACUGACUAAUACUUAAUGUAACAAGAAAAAAAAAGUAUUGCAACAACAAAUUUCUAAAAUGUUAGUUAAAAUUGUAUGUGGAAGUAUUUUUUUUAUGUCUACACAUUUUAUUUAUCAUAGUCAUUGUAAUCAGUAUAUUGGACUAAAAAAUACAUAAUUCUAGUAGUCUGGAACAUGGAUAUUUAUAGAAUGGUUAUGCAACAAAUAAUUUUAAUGUGUACAGUGAAUAUUCUUAAAAAACUUAUUUAAAUUUAUUGAUUAACAAUAAUUAUAUAUAUAAUGACAAAUAGCACGAUUUUAUAAAAUUGUAUCUAUAGUCUUAACAGUUUUUAAUAUUGCUUACUUAAAAGCGCUGCAGUGAAAGAAGUUAAAAUACAAUAGAAGACGAGAAUUAUGAUUGCUACUUUGAAAUCACCUGUGGAAAAUUACUGCUAUUGCUGUUUCAUGCCUACACUAAUAGACGAGUAAUUCUCAUUGAGUAUAGGCUGUUCUAACAUAGAUAAAAAUAAUAGAUCUGUCUUAGCUCCAUGCUGUAAUCAUCUUAUGGUAAACCAUGGUCAAAAGCACAAUUUACUUUGGAAUGUAAGUAAACUAAUUUAGUCAUGGUAUCUUUAAUAUGAGGCAUUUCUUAACAUUAUCUCAUACUUUCAUAAUUCUUAGGAGUCAAGAAUCUAGCUGAAUGACAGGAGUCAUUGGUAGAAACUUUUUGGCGGCCCUAUCAUAGAUCAUAGGUCUUUGUUAAGAAUAUUUAUCUAAACUAUAAACUAAAAUACCUUUGUGAUAGUAGAUGAUCUAAACCUAUGGUUUUAUUGUUGGUUCGCUAAUGUAACUGUAUAAUAUGAGAAAGCAAUACUCGUCAAAAUUUUGAAGACAUUCUUUUUGGGAUUACCCAAGAUUGUUAUUAAAUUAAUAUGUUUUUAUUGUAAGUAUUUGUUUCCAUAUUGCGACAGCUUGACAUUGCACAAACUACAAUUCACCAUUUUUAUAGGAAAUAAAAAAGUAAAAUUCUUUUAAAACAGUAAAAAUUGAUUAUCAUAUUAUUUUAAUUAUUAGUAAUUAUAGCAUUAACAUUGUUCUGAUUGGAUCUAACACCAGUCUCAGAGUAACUGUAGCCCAUACAUCACACAUUAAGCAAAUGCCCUAAUUUCAAAGGGUAUACUCAAGAAUCUAGUAAACGUUGUAGAAUGGAUCUAUAAUUAUUAUGUGUUAUCUGUACUUUAAUAUCUGAUCUACAGUCUUUCCUUAAAGUAGGUACCUAAUAAUAUUAUGUUUCUAUUGUCAUUAAUUUAUUGUUAAGC
Non-coding RNA from Cinara cedri, 1372 nucleotides. The record is from the annotation of a GenBank genome assembly. NCBI's taxonomy places the organism in Eukaryota, Metazoa, Arthropoda, Insecta, Hemiptera, Aphididae.